ACAGCAGUCGCCACGGUAAUACGUAGGGUGCAAGCGUUAAUCGGAAUUACUGGGCGUAAAGCGUGCGCAGGCGGUUAUAUAAGACAGAUGUGAAAUCCCCGGGCUCAACCUGGGAACUGCAUUUGUGACUGUAUAGCUAGAGUACGGCAGAGGGGGAUGGAAUUCCGCGUGUAGCAGUGAAAUGCGUAGAUAUGCGGAGGAACACCGAUGGCGAAGGCAACCCCCUGGGCCUGUACUGACGCUCAUGCACGAAAGCGUGGGGAGCAAACAGGAUUAGAUACCCGAGUAGUCCCUGUCUCUUAUAU
Molecule: ribosomal RNA, 305 nt
Filed under: uncultured bacterium
Lineage: Bacteria
Description: partial 16S ribosomal RNA
Rfam family: Bacterial small subunit ribosomal RNA
Source: RNAcentral